Molecule: ribosomal RNA, 373 nt
Filed under: uncultured bacterium
Lineage: Bacteria
Description: bacterial SSU rRNA
Rfam family: Bacterial small subunit ribosomal RNA
Source: RNAcentral
ACGGAGGGUGCAAGCGUUAAUCGGAAUUACUGGGCGUAAAGAGUGCGUAGGUGGUUAAUUAAGUUAUCUGUGAAAUCCCUGGGCUCAACCUGGGCAGGUCAGAUAAAACUGGUUAACUCGAGUAUGGGAGAGGGUAGUGGAAUUUCCGGUGUAGCGGUGAAAUGCGUAGAGAUCGGAAGGAACACCAGUGGCGAAGGCGGCUACCUGGCCCAAUACUGACACUGAGGCACGAAAGCGUGGGGAGCAAACAGGAUUAGAUACCCUGGUAGUCCACGCCGUAAACGAUGUCAACUAGCUGUUGGAUAUAUGAAUAUAUUUAGUGGCGAAGCUAACGCGAUAAGUUGACCGCCUGGGGAGUACGGUCGCAAGAUUA